RNAcentral lists this long non-coding RNA (1465 nucleotides) under Marmota monax (woodchuck). Lineage: Eukaryota; Metazoa; Chordata; Mammalia; Rodentia; Sciuridae. The record is from RNAcentral.
GGGUGGGGUACUGGGGAUUAAACUCAGGGGCACUCAGCCAAUGAGCCACAUCCCUAGCCCUAUUUUGUAUUUUAUUUAGAGACAAAGUCUCACUGAGUUGCUUAGUGCCUUGCUUUUGCUGAGGCUGGCUUUGAACUCCUUGUCCUCCUGCCUCAGCCUCCUGAGCUGCUGGGAUUAUAGGAAUGUACCACUGUGCUCAGCUUAAUGUUUUAUUUUUUAAAGUUUAAAUGACUUUUUUUCAUGCUAAUAUUGAAAUUGUAUUUCAACGGCACAAGAUUGGUAAGAUUUAGAGAUUUCUUAAUUGAAUAUUACAUAGAAAUUAUAAGCUAAAUAGAGAAUAUGCAUUUCAAAUGCAGAUUUGAAUUUGCAAUUUGCAGAUCCAAAAUUUUACCUACCAGUUUAAAACAUAUAGCUUAUAGACAUGAUAUAAAUGUGCUCUUAAGGCCAUAUGAGAAUACUGAAGGAUGCUUUUUUAGCAUUAAGCAAUUAUACAACUUAUAUGAAUUAUAACUUUUGAGUCACAACAAAUUAAGCUACUUUAAGCAAAGAAGACAAACGUGUCUUAAAUACACUGAAAUGUCUCUUGGAUCUGUAGAGCAGGAAUGGAAUCAUUUACAAGAAGGGACUAUAACCAGACAGUCUUGAGGAAUCCAUGAGACACAGUCUUUUCUUACUCCGAACACUUCUUAUUCUCACAUUUCAUUCCUUCUUGUUUUAUAGUUUGGCUUUCUCGGCUUUGAUUCCACAAUAGAAUAAGACCUCUCUGUAGCAUAUUUGUAAUAUUAAAUUGACCAUCACAUAUAUACAUUAACUGGCUAGGGCUGAGAGAGAAAUUUGGGAAUACAGAAAAAGAAAGAUAGUAAACUGAGUCUCAAUAGAGAAGUUCCCAUGAAACUUGAAAUGCAAAACAAACAACUUGUAAGCAAUGCAGCCCACAUCCUUAUCCCACAUCUCAGCCCAGAUCCUUGGCUUUCAUCUUUGCCUUCAAAAAAGUAAAACAAUGCAGGAAAUAGAAAAGAAAGGUAAGUGGGAAAGUGCCAUUGAUAUGGAUUCUAGAAUUAUAGUCACAAAUUUUAAGACAUUACUCCAUGAUUAAACAGAAGAAGAGGUCUUUGGAGAUUAAAAACUAUUCCGCAGGCAACAGUGUGUUUGGUUUAUUUAUUUAUUUAUUUUAACACAUGUUUUAUUCAGCUUUUUUGCUGCUGCAACUAAAAGACCCAACCAGAAUGACUAUAAAGGAGGAAAAAUUUGAAGGCUCAUAGUUUCAGAGGUCCAUAGAAGACUGGCUUAAUUCCUCAGGGCUUGAAGUGAAGCAGAACGUCAUAGCAGAUGAGUGUGGUACAUGGAAGUAGCUCACAUGUGAUCAGAAAGCAGAGAGCUCUCCACUUGCCACAUACAAAUAUAUGCCCCAAAGCCACACCCCUAAUCCCCACCUCCUCCGGCCACAUUCUACCAUUUCAGUUAC